CCUACGGGGCGCAGCAGUGGGGAAUAUUGGACAAUGGGGGAAACCCUGAUCCAGCGACGCCGCGUGAGUGAAGAAGUAUUUCGGUACGUAAAGCUCUAUCAGCAGGAAAGAAAAUGACGGUACCUGACUAAGAAGCCCCGGCUAACUACGUGCCAGCAGCCGCGGUAAUACGUAGGGGGCAAGCGUUAUCCGGAUUUACUGGGUGUAAAGGGAGCGUAGGCGGUUCAGCAAGUCAGAAGUGAAAGCCCGGGGCUCAACUCCGGGACUGCUUUUGACACUGUUGAACUAGAUUGCAGGAGAGGUAA
RNAcentral lists this ribosomal RNA (305 nucleotides) under uncultured bacterium. RNAcentral's name for it is "bacterial SSU rRNA". It matches the Rfam family "Bacterial small subunit ribosomal RNA", at positions 338 to 660 of the family's 1533-position model. The record is from RNAcentral.